GUAACUUCAAAAACGAAUAAGAAAUAACAGUUUUUGUGUGAGGACACAGUCUUGUAAAAAAAAAAAAAAUCGGUUUCCUAUUGAACAUACUUCUUUCCAAAAUAAAUAUUCUAGUUUGAUUACAUUUUAGGGUGUCUGAGUAGUAAAUACAAAUGUAUUUUGACUUGUUGAAACAAAGUUUAAGGGGUAGAUUUUCGGAUUCCUUUCUCUGCAAGUUGAAUGAGUGGAUUACUCAUUGAUGGCGCCAACUAAACUGACUUUUUUGGGAUAUAAAAAAUGAUUUUAUCUAACAAAACUACAUGCUGGGACCCUCUUGAUGACAAAUCAGAGGAAAAUUUUCAAAAAGUCACCAGGCUGCUCGUUAUGCCGCACACAUCGUUACUCACACCUGCGGGUCAUCAGACUCACCUGGACUCCAUCACUUCCCUGAUUACCUUCCCUACAUAUGUCACUCCCUUUGGUUCCUUCCCCAGGCGUUAUUGUUUAUGUCUCAGUUUC
This 498-nucleotide long non-coding RNA is filed under the name Salmo salar (Atlantic salmon). Its description in RNAcentral is "lncRNA (ENSSSAG00000095955.1)". The record is from RNAcentral. Lineage: Eukaryota; Metazoa; Chordata; Actinopteri; Salmoniformes; Salmonidae.